Molecule: ribosomal RNA, 328 nt
Filed under: uncultured eukaryote
Lineage: Eukaryota
Description: partial 18S ribosomal RNA
Rfam family: Eukaryotic small subunit ribosomal RNA
Source: RNAcentral
CCCUUAGAUGUCCUGGGCCGCACGCGCGUUACACUGAUGCAUUCAACGAGCUUAUAACCUUGGCCGAGAGGCCUGGGCAAUCUUGUUAACGUGCAUCGUGAUAGGGAUAGAUUAUUGAAAUUAUUAAUCUUGAACGAGGAAUUUCUAGUAAACGCAGAUCAUCAAUCUGCAUUGAUUACGUCCCUGCCCUUUGUACACACCGCCCGUCGCACCUACCGAUUGGAUGGUCCGGUGAAGCCUCGGGAUUGUGGUUCUUGCCGCUUUAUUGUGGCGUGACCGCGAGAACUUGUCUAAACCUUAUCAUCUAGAGGAAGGUGAAGUCGUAACA